CCCAGGGUGCAUCACGUGCCCUCGGCUGGCCAAUUGCAGAGCCCCGUCCCUGAGCCAUGGCGAUUGGCUUACGGAUGGGCACAUGACCCGGGCAGGGCCAAUCAGAUUCUCUCCCAUCACGAGCCGGAAGACAAUACGGCCGGUCUGUUGGCGGCCGUUCUGCUGCAGUGCGGGCAGAGCCUGCGUGAGAAUGAAGCCAACCUAGAGGAAUGGGGAGCGGAGAGAGGGAGGCCGGUAGAAAGGGGUGCUCUGGGCCCCUCAAGGACAGCCCCCCGCUUCGGACGUCCCAGUCGUGGAAGCGCAUGCACCCCUGUGAGGGGUUCCGUCAUUGCUCCCAGGCUCUGUGCUGAGCUCAUCAGGUGCAUCGAGACUAAUGAGUCUCACGACCGCCCUAAGGGGUAGAUAUUUGGAUGUUUCCUGCUUUCGGAUGAGAAGAGACCGAGACUGAAAGUGAGACCCGAGCGGGGAGCCCAGCCUCGCGCUGUGGACAUGUGUGAACCCUGCCUCCCCGGCCCGGCCCCCUGCUGCCCAGCAGAGGCAUUCAGGUGUUUGUUGAGUGCUCGUCCUGGCCGUUGGGAGUUGAGUUCAGCUUCCCUUCCUUCUCUGGAAUUUGUGUGUGGGCACUGGAUGUGCCUGAGCCCGCCUGAGCCCUUUGCCUCCUGCCCCUGGGCAUUUGCAGAGCAGAGCCCCUCUGCCGCGGUACUUCGUGGUGGGACUGGACGUCCCGCAGCCAAGCCUUGGACGCUCCAGCAAGAUUGCAUUUCCAGACACUUAAAAACAUUCCCUGAAUGAUCUCUGUGAACUUUCCAGAGUUUGAAGUGGGCUGGACCACCUUAAAGUUAGCUCAGAGAGAAAACCUUUUGUACGGAGCCUUUGGAUUUCUUGUUCCCCUUUAGAAGCGAUGUUCUUGUUUGAUGGGAACAGAGACAGUCCUGUAACACCCAGGUCAAGCUGUUCUUUGGGAAAUUUUAAAAGAGGCUGGAGGUGUGUUCUGAAGAAAGCAAAUAAGUCCAGAUCCUUGUCCCCAUGUGGUAAACUCUGAGCAGUUUGGAGAAGAUCAGAAACUCCUACGUUUGUUCCUUGGCCCAGGAGAGUUCAAAGCCACAGCUGGCAAAGGCCCUGUGUCUGUGUCCAAAGGCAGGCAGCUCGCCUACUGCUGAGGGUCAGAGGGAGCCCACCCUGAACGAGCCCCUUCUCUUGGCCUCUCUCUUCCUUCCAUCACUUGCCUGGGUGUGAUGAGUUCACAGGCCAGUGUUUGUGUCCUGAGAGAGCUGGCAGUCAAGGGCUGUGGUUUCUACAGAGGAUCAAGAUUUCUGGGGCAGACAGCCGUGGGCCUCGACCCCUGCCUUUGGGGUCCCCACAGCAGACAUUGAGCGAAGGACAUGAGUGUGAACGAUUGAUGGGGAAGCAAACCGUAGAAAGUGUCACAGAGAAGGGGACGCGACAGGCCUGGGAAGGCUGUAGGGUUGAGGUUGAGUCCUCUGGGGCGUCUGGAGCUUGUGAGGUGCAGAUCCUGGCCCAGCAGGUCAGGGGCAGCGUGAAUUCCUCAUCUCUAGCAAACUCCCAGCUGAAGCAAAUGCUGCUGGUCCACAGUCCACACAGGAGAACACAUUUCUGAGCUCCACCAGCUGAAGGGGUUGACUUGUGUCCCCCAAAAGAUACGCUGAAGUCCUAACCCGAUAUCCGUCAGUGUGACUGUAUUGGAAAUAGAGUCUUCGCCAAUGAAAUCGGGUUGAGACUAGGACAUAGUGGGUUUGGGUGGACCCUAAUCUAAUGACUAGGGUCCCUAAAAAAGAAGAAAAGAGACAGAGGGACGAGGGAAGAAGGCCAUGUGGAGACAGCGCAGAGGCUGGAGCAGAGAUUGGAACACCUGGAGCUAUGGGAAGCUGAAGAGGCAGGAGGGAUCCCCCCCCUGGAGCCUGCAGAGAGCGUGGUCCUGCCCACACCUUGAUUUCAGACUCCUGGCUUCCAGAAGGUGAAAGAAUAGAUUUCUGCUAUUUAAACACCCCAGUUUGUGGGACUUGGUUACAGCCGAUCCAGGAGCCUAAUACAGCAGCCAGGGGGUGAGGGAGCCGGUCCCAGGGGCCUCAGCGUUCCAGCACUUCCAGCCUGACCUGAGGAUUGGCAGAGGGAGCAGGUGCACGCCGCGGUUGGCUCCCUGGAAGCAGUCAGUGCCGAGGCAAGGUGAGUGCGCCCCAUAAGCCUCUGCUUCUGUCUUGCUUGGAAGAUGACCAAGGCCUUUCCUGGAGGGUGAGGGGUUGGUGCCCUGAGCAAGGGCGGGUGGAUGGGGAGCUCGGAGAGCAAGACUGGGAUGGGGUCGACGUGGGUGAGGGGAGGCUCCCUCCCUUCAACUGUGCACAGUGAUGUGCUGCCCGCCGUCUCUAGCUGGGGUGCAGGCUGUCCUGGGCAGGGUGGGGGCGGCAUGGGGCCUGGAAGGAGGGAGGGAUUUGAACCAAAGGGCCCAGCUUGGAAUUCUGUCUCCUCUGCUGGACUUCACCUCUUCCUGCCUCUGUCUUCUUGGUGGCACGAGAGAGUAAUGAUAGGCUGAAAUGACGCAUGUCAUUGCCUAGGACAAGGGUCUAGGCAUUGCCCAGAGGAGGGUCUAGAGCAGAAUGAGGGAUGAAGAGGGGCCUCUCCUGCCCAGAGCUCCUGGCCCAGCCUCUGUGGGGAAGACCAGCUCCAUGGGACAGCAGACAGCCCCCAGGGUUCCCUUAGUUUCCGGCGAUGCCUCGUGACUCCUGGCUACAGGAGACUCUCUCUUCUUCCUCCGGAUCCCUGCUCCCCUGCAUUUUAGCCCCAGAUUUCUGGAAGCUCUUCAGAGAGGCGGAUGUUUGCAAGUCCGCCCAGUGCUAUUGAUUUGUGCCUUAGUGAGCCUUGCCUUUACGAUGAUUAAUAUUUGAUUUAUGCCCUGGGUUUGUCCUCUUUCUGAUCUCUUUCUAACUCAUUAAAUCUUCCCUAAUCGAGCCUCUAACUUUUUCCUUUGGAACUUACCCUCCAGAGGAAGCUUCCAGUUCCCCUUGUUGGCUUCUGACCCAUUUAUUUGCCUUUUGAAAAAUAAAAGAAACACAUUUGGCUGGAACUAGUCCUAGAGGCUGGCUGCCAGGAGGGGCUUGGCUUGCAAAUGUCACAGCUGUCCCUCUGCUGCGGAAGCUUCUUCCACUGAUUGAAUUUGCUUGUGCUGAAAGGGCUGGGCUCUACUGUCAGAGGGUGGGGCUGCCUUCUGGAGCCCGGGUGGGUGAAGGCCAGGUUGGGGGCCUGGGAUGGAAGUGCCAGCAGGGGCCUUGUGGAGCAUCUGAGUCUGCAGUUGGCUCUCUUUCCUGUCGUUCUAGGCAGGUGCACGUUCGGAAAGGUGGGCCCCUCAGGUAAAAUCGGGAACGAGGGUGAGCCGACCUUUAAGGAGCUGAGAUUCCAGCCUGGCUGGUCUGAGCCCAGUGCCCAGGCUCCUCGUGCCGCGCCCAGCUGCCCCCCACCGAGUGCCCUUGCUCCUGCACCUGUGGCCGCAGGUCAGGGACGCGGUGAAACAUCCCAUGGUGGAUGGCCACCCAUAACAUGGUGUCACCCCAAGUGUCGAGAGUGCCAACGUGGAAACCCUCUAGUGGAGGGACCCGCCAUGGCUUCGGAUGGCCGAUCCCACUCGACGUCUUCAGUUGGUCCAGCAGGCCGGACAUGACCAAGUAUUGGGUUCACCGACAGAAGGAUCGUAGGCUUUCUAAGAAAGAAAGGACAAGGGACGGGUGUUCUUGCUGUGGACCGAACGUGCCGUCUACCUGUGUUGAGAUACAGAAAUGCUGCAGUUCAGCCACAAAGACCACAUACUGUCUAAUUCCAUUUACUGUGGAAUUCCCAGCACGGGCAGAUCCGUGGAGACUUAGUGACAGCCAGGGACUGGGCGUGAGCAUGAGGAGGUUGGGCAGCUGCCAGGGCACCAGGCAGUGAGCCCCACGCGGCCCCCAGAAGGCAGAGAGCAAGGAUGCCAGAGCUGGGGAUUUGUCUUAAGUUGCGUUCACCUUCGGAUUUUCCUUCUUUCUUUUGUGUUCUAGGCUUUCUGUUACGCAGUUCAUAUUACAUUAUGUUUUUAUGAGGGCGGUAAAAUGAUCAGUGUUUUUUUGUUUUUUCUGUGUUUCCUGAUGUUUGUAAAACACACAUUUAUAAUGCAAAGAGAGGGAGUCGAUAAAAAGAAAAUCACACCCCCCCCCACCUCCCCUGGGAACAGACACACUAAACAAAAGCAAAGGAGGAGAGUCCUUGAGUCACAGUGAGCCACGUCUGGGUUCAGCAGGUGGCUCUUGUUCCGGACCCGGGGCAGUGGGCUUGGGGGUCAGUGCGAGUAUGGGUUAGGGCAGGCACAGCACGCCAUCCACAGCCCUCCUGCCCCCUUGGGAAGGGAGCCUCUGUUUUCCCCACCCCCGGGCUGGUUCUGUGGGAGAGCCGCGUAAGGACUGGGCACUAUGAGAACCCGAGGUGCGGUCACCUCCUCCUUCCCAGUGGGCAUGGCCAGCCUCAAGUCUCCCUUUUUGGGCUGGCAAGUGGCCUCUCACCGGCCUGAUCCUCUCGCAAAGGGCUGCGAUUGGGGGUGGAGAGGGAGGGAGGUCUCUGUCCGAGCUGCCGCCUCUGGGCCAGCUUUCCUGCUGUGUGGUGUUUUCCUCCUUGCCUGAUCCGGGAGGGGUGACCUGGUCUCCUCACCUCAGCUGGGCAGGGUCUUUUCCUACACGGCUGCGUGUGUGGCUUGCCUGUGUCCCUCUCUGUUCCUGUCACAGUUCGAGGAAGCCAGGCAAGCGAGAAUCCUCCUUGGAGGGGAGCCAGCGGGAUCAGUCACCUGAGGGCAGGUAGACACAGUGUCUCAGGCCCCAUCAAUCCCAGACUUGAGUUGGCUCAGAGGCCCAGACCCCUUGAGUGAAGGGGGGACCGGGUCCCCUUGAGGAAAGACCCCGCCCCACUGCCAGAAAUUUCUAUCAUUUAUCUUUCUGCCAGUCUUCCCCAAAGGGACUAUGGCCCUUUCCCAGCAAGACUGGGUAUUGGGGAAAGGGAAACAGAACUUUUGGGGACUACUGGACACUGGCUCUGAGCUGACAUUGCUCUCGGGAGACCCCACAUGUCACUGUGCCUUCCAGGAACAUAGUGCGAUCAAUGCUUCUUUAGCUAAAGGAGCACUUUAAGGUAGGGCUCAGGGAGGACCCUGAAAAGGAGGUGUGUUUCCACUGAGACCGACUGGCUUCCUUAGGGCCUGUUCCUGGCUUUGGGAAAGGAAGCUGGGAACCAGCCCCAUCCUUUAAUUCUUGGCAGUCAGGAUUGGGCUGGAAAUUCCUUUCUACACCUAACCCUGCUCUGGCCAGCAUGGGCCAUCCAAACUCCAGGAUGUUUGCUCAUUUAAAAAAUUUUUAAUGUUUACUUAUUUUUGAGAGAGAGAGAGAGAGAGAGAGAGAGAGAGAGAGAGAAUGAGUUGGGGAGGGGCAGAGAGAGAGGGAGACACAGACUCCAAAGCAGGCUCCAGGCGCUGAGCUGUCAGCACAGAGCCCGAAGUGGGGCUUGAACCCACGAACCGUGAGAUCAUGACCUGAGCAACCAUAAUCAAGAUUGUAUUACAGUGGCAAAGAAAAAGUCACACAAAUCAAUGCAACAGAAUAGAGACCGAGAAAAAGACCACAGACAUGUCCAACUGAUUUUUGACAAAGGUGCAAGAACAAUUCAAAGGAAGAAAGAUAGCUUUUUCAACAAACGGUACUGGAGAAUUGGGCAUCCAGAGGCAAAAAAUGAACCUUGAACUAAAUCUCACAUUUUACGCAGAAAUUAACUAAAAUCAAUUAUGGACUUAAGUGUAAAAUAAAAAAAAUACGAAACAGAAAAAAAUAGAAAUAUCUUUGGGAUCUAGGCCAGGCAAAGGGUCCUUAGAUUUGACACCAAAAGCGUGAUUAAAGGAAAACUGGCAAAUUUGGCUUCAUCAAAAUGGAAAAUUUUGCUCUCUGAAAGGGCCCGUCAAGAGGAUGAAAAGAGAAACUGUACAGCGGGAGCAAAUGUUUGCAAAGCACAUAUCUGACAGAGGAAUAGUAUCUUAUGUAUAUAAAGACCUCUCAAAACUCAACAGUCAAAAAGCAAACUACCCCAUUAGAACAUGGGAAAAAAGUGGUGACAUGUCACCAAAGAAGAUACACAGGUGGCAAACAGCACCGUUCAACUUGAUUAUUCUUUAGGGAAAUGUAAGUUAAAAUUGUCAAGAACUGUCCCUACACAUCUUCCAGAAAAGCUAAAAAGAGAAAAACGGUGACAAUACCAAAUGCUGGGAAGGAUGUGGAGAAACUGGAAUCCUCAUAUGCCGCUGGUGGGAAUGUAAAAGAGUAGGGCCACUCUGGACAGUGGCUGGGCAGUUUCUCAAAAACCUAAACGGGCAGCUACCACACACUGCAGGGACUGCACUCCUGGGCAUUCAUCCCAGAGAGAAACGAAGACUUAUGUUCACACAAAUACCUGCACACGAGUGUUUAUAGCAGCUUGGUUUGCGGUCAGCAAAUCAAACCGACCCUGGAGACAAGCCAGAUGUCCUUCUACCACUUAGGGUUAAGUGAAACGUGGUACCUGCACACCCGUGGGGGGAUAGCGCCCCUCAGUGCUGUGUGUACAAUGCCUGCAUGAGUCUCCAGAGAGUAUCACGGAGUGGAGAGAGCCCGUCCCACGAGGGCAGCACCCUGUACGGUUCCAGUUCUGUAACGUUCUCGCAACGACAAAAUUACAGGAACGGAGAACAGAGGGGUGGUUGCAAAACAUGGAAGAGGGGCGAGCGUGGGAGAGGGUGUGGCUGUGAAGGAGCCAGCAGGCGGGAUUUGGUGGCAAAGGGAAUGUUCUGGAUCUUGACCGUAUCAACGUCAACAUCCUGGUUUUGAUAUUGUCCCGCAGUUUUGCAGGAUGCCACCGCCAGGGAGAACUGGGUGAGGGGCGUGUGGGAUCUCUGUAUUAUUUCUUACAAACGCAUGUGAAUCUGUAGUUAUCUUAAAAAGUUAAAGAUAUUUUGAAGACA
Long non-coding RNA from Felis catus (domestic cat), 7009 nucleotides. RefSeq lists it as uncharacterized. The record is from RefSeq and is a predicted model, not a curated record. The transcript is spliced from 2 exons. Lineage: Eukaryota; Metazoa; Chordata; Mammalia; Carnivora; Felidae.